RNAcentral lists this long non-coding RNA (4165 nucleotides) under Bemisia tabaci. Its description in RNAcentral is "lncRNA ENSSSA2NGG013995". The record is from RNAcentral. Lineage: Eukaryota; Metazoa; Arthropoda; Insecta; Hemiptera; Aleyrodidae.
AUUCUGCGUACGAUGAGCAAAUCGCAGCACAGGUUAGAGGGCGAAGAUGAGAUCCUCUAAAUCCGGAUCACCGAAGGACGGUCAGAGCAAAAAUCAACCCAAAGAGACAUUCUGGCAAAAGCGAGUAAGUCAAGUGGAGAGCGUUUCGAAACUGCUACUAAAUAAGAACAAAAGCAAACAAAACGCCAUUAAAGAAACGAAAGACAAGAAAAAACAACAGCAGACCGCCGGCGAACAACUAGAGUGUCUGAAAAAAGCACUAGAGAGUCUAACGCAGAAAGAAGCCGAACUUUCAAAACGUCAACCAAAAGACUCAUCUUUGACUCCGCACCCCAAAAGAAGUCGAAGACCUCCUGAAAAAUGUCAGGUCCGACGACAUCCUCUGCUACUCGGACGGAAAGAACAGCCUAAUAUACUGUCCCUCCGAAAAGGGCAUUAACUUCGACUUCGAUGCCUCGGACGACAAGAGGGGUCGAUCUGCCUCUAAAUCGACAGUAAAGAGAAGUGCCUCACCAGAGCCGCGCGAGAAUAUACGAGGAGGAGAGGAGCCAUACCACCGAGAGGACUGCGAUGGUAAGAACACGCGAGGCGGGUCGUCCAAUCAUCGGAUGAGCGUUGAGAGAAGACAUUCGGAUCGGUGUAAGAGGGAUGAGAAACGGGAACCAAGGGAGUGCUGCAGGAAAGACGUCAAAAAAUCAAGCGAGAAAAAGCCAAAAUGGAGCGAGGCGUGCAAACAAAUCUGUAAGAAGAAAGCGCCACAAGAAUGCCUCAAGGCGGGACACCUGAGCGCCGGUAGAGGCCGGACACGGUCGGACGACGAAGACAGCUUAAAGGAACGGUGCAAGAGGAGAUACUCUGACGUGGAGGAGCGAGGAAAGAAAGGAGGGCGGAAAGAGGAAAAGGACACGAGAUCCCGUGGAAGUCAAGCGAGUCUAAAGAGGUCAUCGGGGCGGCAUGGCUCUCGAGAUAGGGAGCGACAUCGGGAUCGCAACUGCCAGACGGAACCGAAGCGGAGCUGCUCGCGGUCGCGCAAGGAGGACUCGGACCGCGAGCGGAGGCGGAGCAGCCACAGGAGCGGGACCCGCGAGAAGACCGAGGCGGGCAGGUCGGUGUCGCGGGAGCCGGAGACGCCGCCGAAACGGAGGUCGAGCCUCAAGCGGACCUCCCGGGCGCCCGGAGGUCCGGCUCCAGCGGGUACCUCCGGGACAGUUACGGCAACGAACCGUCGCCAUCACUAGGGUACCCAGCGCAGUGUCCAAACUCCACGUACCCCAUGCAGAAUGGCACGAUGCCCGCUUGGAAUUCGACGCUCCCGCCGCAUUCACCGGUUGCUUAUCCCGACGGCUCUUUCGGGGGUCAGUGCGGGUUCGUGGAACCCGAGUUCGACGCCAGUUCCAUCCGCUACCCGCAGGGCCCUGCGAUGAGUACGCCGGUCCCGCGGAGGAAUGCAAGAGUCGGUGGGCAUAUGGAUUGUCCCGCGGGUGGGUACAUGGAGACCCUGCCGGAGCACACCAUGGGGUCGGGUUACCCCAACGCCCGUCCAUGGCCCAUCAUUCCAUGACACCUCUUCCGAUUUUGCGGGGCUCCAGGGGACCGCCUGGCGGUCCUGCGAUGAACGCUUCGGCUCCAGCUAUGUACGGACGUUCCACAUCUUCGAUUCCCGGUCGACCUGUUAGCGUCUCUUUCCCGCCGCAAUCGCCCUUCCAAGGACAACAGUUCCCGAGCCAAGAUCGUCUGGUUUCCACGCCGUCCGGUGGUAUUGUUUGUUGCAAUAGGUGUUGCAGGCCCGCUCCGUGCUGUUGCCCCUCCCAGUUUUGCGCUGUCAAUAAUCAAUGCGCAGCGUGCGCCGACCCCGAGUACUACGAGUGCGGCGAGCACAUCCACGAGACCCCGUCGCCCAUGUGCAACUAUCACCGCUACCUGUGCGACAGGCAGAAGUCGGCCAUCGCCGAGAGCACUGCCGAGCUGGACAACACCUAUCUCCGUGACUGCAUGCCCAUGUCUGCGCCUCGGUUCGACAAGACCAAGUUGUACGCCGACCCCAAAGGCCGCCGUCUCCAACCCAGCCUCAGUUGUCACGGUCUCAGCCCCUCUCAACUCCAGCAUCCUGUUGACCCGCAAAUGAUGAGCCUCCUCUACAGAAGAGGGCGCGAGGAGUACUUGCGGGAGCGAAGCAAGCUGUCACCGGAGGAAAAAUUCGCGUUUCCUGUCCUCUCCUCGCAUUCCUACGGCUGGCGGAUCCUCUGCGCCUACUACCCGCGGAAGACCUACGCCCGGAAGGCCAAGGAUUUCCGGGCCGGGGACGCUGGUCCCAUGCCGUAUACGUAACCAGAAUGGAAGUCAUCGGAAAACUUUGGCGCUGGUGGCGUCAGUGCUUUUCAAUCGAUCCUCGGACACUUCAGUGGCGAUUCGCGCAAUUUGGUAAAACCGGAUCGUAGCUGAUUGGAUAUUUUAGACCCUUGCCAUAAUUGGAUCGAACUAAGAAUCACCAUUAAGUAUCUCGGAAAGGAGUCGGAAGUACCAUGAGUGCGAUGUAAAAUCCACUCUUUGUGGAGUGAGCUUCGCUCUUUCGGAGCAGAUCUCACUCCAUAUUCAAAUCUCUAAGGUCCUCUACUGGAGGCGGGAUAGGCUUUGGAAUGAACUCUGAACUUAGUUCCGAAGUUUCCAUCACUGCAGUCGCAAGUGCAACAACUUAGGACUCCUAACACGUGUCAGAUGGGGCGCAUUUGAAAUCGGACGGCGAAAAAGAUAAAGAAAAAAGGGGGAAAAGAGUAAAAAGAGAGAAGUAGAAGGAGUGGAGAAGAUGGGAGAAAAGGAGAGGAAGCUAAAAAGGUUGAAGAAGAAGAAGAAGUAGAGUAAAAGAGGAAGACAAACAAGAAACAAGAAAAGACAACUGUACCAGAUUAUCUUUGUUCAUCUUUUUCUCUUUUUAUCUCCUCCUCUUCUCCGUCUGCCUCUUUUGGUCUUCUUCUUCUUUGUCUGGUUCUUCUUCUCCUUCGAUUUUUCUCGUUUUCUUAUUUUUCAACUUCUUCUCCCUGUCAUUCUUCUUUUCCUCGUUCUGUCUCUAAUGUUUCCUCAUCUGGCAUAUGCUAGGAUUCCUACGAUCUAGGUCUGCCAGACUAUGAAUGGUUAAAUGCUUGGAAAGAAUCGAUUUUAAUCGAGGAUGGUUCUCUCCUCGAGUCAAUCAUUUUAAUUGAUUUUAAAGGAGAGAAAGCAAUAUUCACAACUUGCCAGAAUCACCGCUGGAAGACAUGAACCGUUGGGACUUACACUUGGAGUAAACUAUCUCACUACGAAAGACGAUAUGUGUGAAACACUGGAGAUCUUGAAUAUAUUAGAGCUUACAUAUCAAAGCAGAGAAGGACCCAUUUGACAUCUAUUAGUGAAACUCUAUGAAAACCAAAACCCAUUUUUGGCUUUGGCUGCCUAUGAGCAAAAUAUUAAUGGCUAAUUUUGGAGAGGGGUAUUCUUAUUGCUAACAUAGUUAAUUAUCUCCUUAUGCAUACUUAUAUUCAAUUUAUGCAGAAUUACAUAAGAUUUAUUACAACCACUUUUAUUUUGUCGAAUAGCUUUCCUCAUCCAAUUUUAAUAGGUGGAUUAUCUUAAUUUUUCUAUUUGUUUCGUUGAACUAAAUCUCCGGUUCAUAGGUACCGCGCUCUCAGUUCAACAAACUGAAUUUCAGUUCUGCCAACCAACGAGAUCGCGAAAAGUUCGAAUGGUCGAUGGCUCAGUCCCCUGAGCCAGAAGUGCUCCAAUAGAAUUUAUCCGCUCGUAUGAGUGAAGUUUGUCAUCGUGCGAAAUGCCGUGAAAUAGAGUCUCUAGACAAGGUAUAAAGUAAACCACUCCGCAACAAGUCUUCUUUUCAAAAUUUCUAGAGGUAAACGAAUCGCACAACAGGAAGUUUGAAAAUCAACUCCUAAAAAAAUAUCAGUGUUUAAAAUUUAUAUCGGUUAAAUAACAAAUCUAUAUUUCACGUCAUUUGUGUAAUUUAACUUCCAUUUUGCCUAUGCUAAAAAUACUUGUUAAUAACUGCUUCAGAGUUGAUUUCUGAACUUUCCUUUGUCCGGAUUGUUGUCUACGUAAGAUUUUGAAGGGGAAACAUGCGACGCACAGUGGAUCAAGUCAAUUAGAGAGGUCGGACAUGAAAUUUCAUAUUAAAACUGCG